CGCGCGUCCGUGGUUGAAAGUCGAUGCCAGUCGCAGGCGAAACGAUCCACGUAAGCCGGGAAAAUUCCGGUGAGCAUGGUGCGGCUUAGAGGUAAGUCCUGCGUGUCCCAGCGAGGACAUAGAGGGGUAGUAGUGGGGAGGCCAAGUCCUUAGGAGCGAACCCUCCAGCAGGCGAGUGUGGGGUCAAAGACCAGGUCGGGCGCG
Molecule: non-coding RNA, 204 nt
Filed under: bovine gut metagenome
Description: raiA RNA
Rfam family: raiA RNA
Source: RNAcentral